GACGAACGCUGGCGGCGUGCUUAACACAUGCAAGUCGAACGGAAAGGCCCUGCUUGCAGGGUACUCGAGUGGCGAACGGGUGAGUAACACGUGGGUGAUCUGCCCUGCACUUCGGGAUAAGCCUGGGAAACUGGGUCUAAUACCGGAUAGGAGCCAUUUUUAGUGUGAUGGUUGGAAAGUUUUUUCGGUGUAGGAUGAGCUCGCGGCCUAUCAGCUUGUUGGUGGGGUAAUGGCCUACCAAGGCGGCGACGGGUAGCCGGCCUGAGAGGGUGGACGGCCACAUUGGGACUGAGAUACGGCCCAGACUCCUACGGGAGGCAGCAGUGGGGAAUAUUGCGCAAGGGGCGCAAGCCUGAUGCAGCGACGCCGCGGGGGGGAUGACGGCCUUCGGGUUGUAAACUCCUUUCGCUAGGGACGAAGCUUUUUGUGACGGUACCUAGAGAAGAAGCACCGGCUAACUACGUG
This 465-nucleotide ribosomal RNA is filed under the name uncultured bacterium. RNAcentral describes it as "partial 16S ribosomal RNA". It matches the Rfam family "Bacterial small subunit ribosomal RNA", at positions 28 to 507 of the family's 1533-position model. The record is from RNAcentral.